UGUCACUUUUGUCCUGGGAUGAGGACGACUACCUUUGUUAUUUUCUCCUACACUUUUCUGUGUUAGAAAUUGAACUACCAAGAAUGAAUAACUUAUACCUUUGUGAAUUUUGAAAACAUCAAAUGAUAUGCUACCCAACAAGUAUGGUGUGAGAUGUUAAAAUUUUUUUUUGUUUGUUUUUUAGAGACAGGGUUUCUCUGUAUUGUUUUGGAGCCUGUCCUGGAAUUUUCUUGGUAGACCAGGCUGGCCUUGAAUUCACAGAGAUCAGCCUGCCUCUGCCUCCCGAGUGCUGGGAUUAAAGGUGUGCACUGGCCAAUCUCCUGUGAGAAUUUAUAAUGUAAUUCUCACAUUAGAUUGGUGGGCGUCCAUUUUAUAGUUGAAGAAAUGGAGACUUGCCUAUCUUCUUGCCCUUGGAGAUGCUAGGCCACUCAAAUGAAGAUGACAUCAAGAUUUAAACUUAGGACUGUCCAAUUUGGGUGCUCACUUUUCUCCACCACUUUAUGGUGGGUGCUGGCUGUGUUGUGGUUCAGAGGGAGUGGCAGGUGGUGAGCAAGGGUGACAACUCAUUGCUUUUGGAAUGGAAAGAGGACUAGGUUUCUGAUGAAGUAAAGACCAAAUGACUCAGGGUGUGGCUGAACAUUUGAAUCCAAGAUAAAUAGAUCUGUGUAUGAAAGGUGCUCGAAGCAUGCCUGGAUAGAAAGCUCUUUGUCUUCCAAGUUACUUCUGAAGGAGGAAGGGGAGAUAGGUUGUGAUAGCUCCCACAGAAGAUAAGAUGUUGGCCCCUUAAUCAUUCUCAAGGGUAUGGUGGACAUCAGUCCAUGGCAGAAGGUUGACUACUUGUCUCUCCGUGUCUCUGGGCAUCUGAAGAUGGUUGAGGUUGGUCAAGUUUGGUG
Non-coding RNA from Cricetulus griseus (Chinese hamster), 893 nucleotides. The record is from RefSeq and is a predicted model, not a curated record. NCBI's taxonomy places the organism in Eukaryota, Metazoa, Chordata, Mammalia, Rodentia, Cricetidae.